UGCGGCAAAAGCUCAAAUUUGAAAUCUGGCGUCUUUGGCGUCCGAGUUGUAAUUUGAAGAAGGUAUCUUUGGGCCCGGCUCUUGUCUAUGUUCCUUGGAACAGGACGUCACAGAGGGUGAGAAUCCCGUGCGAUGAGAUGACCCGGGUCUGUGUAAAGUUCCUUCGACGAGUCGAGUUGUUUGGGAAUGCAGCUCUAAGUGGGUGGUAAAUUCCAUCUAAAGCUAAAUAUUGGCGAGAGACCGAUAGCGAACAAGUACAGUGAUGGAAAGAUGAAAAGAACUUUGAAAAGAGAGUGAAAAAGUACGUGAAAUUGUUGAAAGGGAAGGGCUUGAGAUCAGACUUGGUAUUUUGCAUGCUGCUCUCUCGGGGGCGGCCGCUGCGGUUUACCGGGCCAGCAUCGGUUUGGAGCGGCAGGAUAAUGGCGGAGGAAUGUGGCACGGCUUCUGCUGUGUGUUAUAGCCUCUGACGAUACUGCCAGCCUAGACCGAGGACUGCGGUUUUUACCUAGGAUGUUGGCAUAAUGAUCUUAAGUCGCCCGUCUUGAAACACGGACC
Molecule: ribosomal RNA, 555 nt
Filed under: Candida albicans
Lineage: Eukaryota; Fungi; Ascomycota; Pichiomycetes; Serinales; Debaryomycetaceae
Description: eukaryotic LSU rRNA
Rfam family: Eukaryotic large subunit ribosomal RNA
Source: RNAcentral